This is a long non-coding RNA of Rhododendron vialii, 3606 nucleotides long. RefSeq lists it as uncharacterized. The transcript has 10 exons. Lineage: Eukaryota; Viridiplantae; Streptophyta; Magnoliopsida; Ericales; Ericaceae. The record is from RefSeq and is a predicted model, not a curated record.
AAUUGGCCAAAUCUCUUGGAUGAGGUUUACAGUUAUUGCUGGUUGGGCAUGGAAAAGUUUAUUUUUUGUUUGAUCAAAAGCUCCUUUAUGAGUGCCAAAUGGACCAUGUGGUAGCAAAGAAAGAAAAGGUUCUACAAGCCACUUUCACAAAGUUAGACUUACCAUGCACCUGCCAUGCCAUCAAGUCAGAGAUUGAGACAGGAGAUGCCCAGACCAAACUCCUAUUCUGUAUCCGAUUUCAAAAGGAACCUUCAAGAUAUUUUGAGAUAUUUGUUAGAUAUUCUCGAGGUGCCAAAAGCAUUUGAAGCUUUUGAAUUACAUGCAGGUAAAAGGGAAAGAUUCUUGAGGUGAAACAGUGUGGUGGUUAUAUGGAGAUAUCCCAGGAAUUCCAGUUGAUGGAAAAUUGCUCAUAUCCAUGAACAUCGAAGCUUAUUUGUUCUAAAUUGACUUGGUACUUCCAAUGGCAGCAAUCUUGGCAUAAGCUAGCUGUUUCGGUCGACUCCCAUAGGUCAGGUUGGAGCACAAACUGAGAUAGAGUGUUAAGAAAAGAAGUUGAGAGUAGAGGAUGCUCUCAAUGCAACAAAGACAAGUUUUUCAUGAGACUCUGGUUUCUGGUUUAUAGAGAUAGUUCCUUGUCAGAUUUGUUAGCAGUAAGGACAAUGUUCAAUUGACUGUGAAAUUGAUGUUAAGGCAGCGGUUGAGGAUGGUAUUGUUGUUGGUGGCGGAUCCACCCUACUUAGGCUUGCAUCAAAGGUUGAUGCCAUCAAGGAUAACCUUGAGAAUGACGAAGAAAAGUUGGAGCGAGCUUUGAGUUACCCCCUGAAGUUGAUUGCCAAGAAUGCCGGUGCUAAUGGAAGUGCUGUUAGUGAGAAGUUACUUAACUACAUCAAUACUUCAUGACCCUAUAUAUAUGUUGUCGUGUUGUAUUUGAGGGAUGCCAUUUUGUGUAUUUUUUGCAGGUUCUUUCCAAUGAUAACCCAAAAUUUGGAUACAAUGUUGCAACGGGAGAAUACGAGGAUUUGAUGGCUGCCAGAAUAAUUGAUCUAACCAAGGUAAGUUCCAGAGAGAAGUAGCUCAAGAGAAAGAGCACUCACAGGGAAUUAUAUUUUUCAAAGUUCACCUCAUUCAAAGAUCUGUCUAAUGGCACAAUUCAAAGUGUAAUAAGGGUAGGUUUGGAUUAAAAAGUAAGGAUUAACUUCUUCUUUUUUUUAUUUGUCUUUAUUCAAAUUUUUUUCCAUUUGUUAAUUUUGUGUCAAACUUUUAUGACUUAUUGUUUUGUACGACGAGAGAAAUUGAAAAAGUAUAAAAUUUGGAUCGGAACUCAUAAUUUUUUUAAAUAAAAAACAAAUAAGUAAAAAAGACAGUUUUUUGAUUUAUUUGAUCUCUUUUGAAAAAUUUAUGAGUUUCGGUCAAAAAAUUUUACUUUUCCUAUUCCUCUCAUCGAGACGAAUCAAUGAGUCAAUAGUUUGACGCAAAACUAACAAAUGCAAAAAAAGAAAAGAAAAAGAAAAAGACUUACGGCCAAAAUAUGAUUGGGAAGAAGGGAAUAUUAUACGUGAUUUUGGAAAAUGUCAGACCAUUGGGGUAAAAUGCAAAAAUGACUUACGACCGAAAUUAGAGGAAAAAAAAUUCACCCCGUUGGUGCAAAAGGCGGUGAAUUGGGUCAACUUAAAUAUUUUGUUAUCAUGUAACCAAAAAAGGAUAAUAUUGUAAUUUUAGGGUACAUGGGUAUUUAAGUCAUUUAGAUGUAUAGGGGUAAUAUGGUCAUUUCAAUGUAUAUGAGUAUUUUAGUCAUUUUAGAAUUUAAAUAUAAAUGUAACUGGGUUAGUGGGCGGGUCGAAUUUGAUUUUAAAUAAAUCGGUCGGGUUUGGUAUGGGUAAUUGAGCUCAUAGGCAAUCAUAGCUAAUGUGUUCUAAAUGGGUUAAUCACCCAUUAAAGACCCAACCCACUUACGACUUACCCAAUUUGAUCCAAACUCGCCUAUUUGCCACCCUUAAUCUGGACUCUACUCUAUUUGAUGAUGAUAUUGUGACUACUCAACUCUUGCUUUGUGUCAAGACUUAUUCCGACUGAACAUGAUUUUUUCCCCGCUGAUUGGAGUCCAGACUUAUUCCGGCUGAACAUGAUUUUUUCCUAGUUGACUGGAAAACUUAAUGCUAUGCUAAUUUCAGGUAGUCAUGUUCCUUGGAACACACAACUUCAGUGGCAAAAACAUUCUUGAUGUCAGACUGUGUGGUGGUUGAGAUCAUAGAUCAUGAACCUGUUCCUGCCGGUAACCCCAUGGACAAUUCAGGAAACCAAGUUUCUCCCUUUUAUUACUUUCAGUUUUUGUGUAUGCAUCUUCCACAUUGCAUUUUAUUAAAUACCUUCUUUUCUUGUCGGGAUACGAUUACUAGACAUUGUUGAAGAUUGUGAGAAGUUAUCAGAGCAAAAAGUGAUCUGAGUUCUGCUGUUAGUUUUGAAACAUACUGGAGGGGGUCAUUAUUUGUGCAAUUUUAUUGUUUCUUCUUUUUUUGUUGCCUCUGUGUCAUUGUCAAAAAAGGGAGAGACUGUUAGAAAUAUUUGAUUUUGAUUAUAUUUUGACAAAUUUGAUUUCUUAAAAGCUUUGUUAAAAUGUUUUAUUAAAAACUCAUUUUGAAAAACAAGAAAAUGAUGUGUUGUAAUCUUCAUUAUACUAAUGUCUUGAUAUGUGCAAAAAGGAUCUUUAAUGGGCAUUAAUAGAAACUGUUUUUUAUAAUCUAAACUUUUAGCCCAUAAUUGAGCUAAUUUACUAAAGUUCUAUCCAGCUAAUAAUUUAUAUUUUAUAAUUCUAGCUUUCAGUAAAUGAAUAUGACCAAUUGAUUUUUAACCUUUGGACCGAAAUCUCAAUUUUGUUCAACCCACGCAUAACUUUCAAAGCUCCUGGCCCUAUUUAUUUUGAUCCACUUUGAUCAGUCCACACACAUUAAAGCAUCUGACUCAUUUCUUUAUUAAUCAUAGUGGAUGACUAGUUUACAAAUAGGUCGACCGACUGAAAUGUUUUUCACCAAUGUUGACCUUCAAAGCUUUGCAUUUUGGGCAUCCAAUCGUUACAAGUAUUCUGCGGCAGAUUUACAACUCAACAUUUAUAUGCUUGAAGCCUAUAAGUGGAGAGCUUUGGAGAAAAGGCAUGGUAUUCCCAGGUUCGGAGACGACAACGAGUACCGCAGCUCCACGUAGGGAGUGACUGCGUUGGUUUUCUUUUUAUUGGAGACCGAGGUGAGUGUUCGAUUUAUAGAUGUUCUUCAAUUGGAUUGAAUUUGAAAUAUUGGACUGUGACUUCGUGUCGGUGGGCAACAACGGCCAACAGCCGGACUUUGUGUCGUGCCUUUGACUUUGUGUCGAUUCAAUGGCUUUAUGCCAAAAUUAUGACUUUGUGUCGAGCUAGUGACUUUGUGUCGGAUUAAAGACUUUGUGUCGAUUAUUUGCUUAAUGCUUAAUUAAUGAUGAACUUGGAUUUAUUGUCUAUAUUGAACAACAUCCAUGUCUCAUUUACACUCCUGGAACUUGUUUGGGGUUCCAGUUUUGCAGGUAUAGGUCGGUGUCCACUACAGGUCACAUUUUGCGUUUUUGUGACUCGCUUGAGAA